UCGAGCGGUAGAGAGAAGCUUGCUUCUCUUGAGAGCGGCGGACGGGUGAGUAAUGCCUAGGAAUCUGCCUGGUAGUGGGGGAUAACGUUCGGAAACGGACGCUAAUACCGCAUACGUCCUACGGGAGAAAGCAGGGGACCUUCGGGCCUUGCGCUAUCAGAUGAGCCUAGGUCGGAUUAGCUAGUUGGUGGGGUAAUGGCUCACCAAGGCGACGAUCCGUAACUGGUCUGAGAGGAUGAUCAGUCACACUGGAACUGAGACACGGUCCAGACUCCUACGGGAGGCAGCAGUGGGGAAUAUUGGACAAUGGGCGAAAGCCUGAUCCAGCCAUGCCGCGUGUGUGAAGAAGGUCUUCGGAUUGUAAAGCACUUUAAGUUGGGAGGAAGGGUUGUAGAUUAAUACUCUGCAAUUUUGACGUUACCGACAGAAUAAGCACCGGCUAACUCUGUGCCAGCAGCCGCGGUAAUACAGAGGGUGCAAGCGUUAAUCGGAAUUACUGGGCGUAAAGCGCGCGUAGGUGGUUUGUUAAGUUGGAUGUGAAAUCCCCGGGCUCAACCUGGGAACUGCAUUCAAAACUGACUGACUAGAGUAUGGUAGAGGGUGGUGGAAUUUCCUGUGUAGCGGUGAAAUGCGUAGAUAUAGGAAGGAACACCAGUGGCGAAGGCGACCACCUGGACUAAUACUGACACUGAGGUGCGAAAGCGUGGGGAGCAAACAGGAUUAGAUACCCUGGUAGUCCACGCCGUANACGAUGUCAACUAGCCGUUGGAAGCCUUGAGCUUUUAGUGGCGCAGCUAACGCAUUAAGUUGACCGCCUGGGGAGUACGGCCGCAAGGUUAAAACUCAAAUGAAUUGACGGGGGCCCGCACAAGCGGUGGAGCAUGUGGUUUAAUUCGA
Molecule: ribosomal RNA, 897 nt
Filed under: Pseudomonas sp. >10UBINAS2Lucero_27
Lineage: Bacteria; Pseudomonadati; Pseudomonadota; Gammaproteobacteria; Pseudomonadales; Pseudomonadaceae
Description: bacterial SSU rRNA
Rfam family: Bacterial small subunit ribosomal RNA
Source: RNAcentral